RNAcentral lists this ribosomal RNA (406 nucleotides) under uncultured bacterium. RNAcentral's name for it is "partial 16S ribosomal RNA". It matches the Rfam family "Bacterial small subunit ribosomal RNA", at positions 30 to 526 of the family's 1533-position model. The record is from RNAcentral.
AUUGAACGCUGGCGGCAGGCUUAACACAUGCAAGUCGAGCGAGCGUCGGACGGGUGAGUAAUGUCUGGGAAACUGCCUGCUGGAGGGGGAUAACUACUGGAAACCGUAGCUAAUACCGCCUACCAUCCGCUGUGCCCAGCUGGGAUUAGCUAGUAGGUGGGGUAAUGGCUAACCUAGGCGACGAUCCCUAGCUGGUCUGAGAGGAUGACCAGCAACACUGGAACUGAGACACGGUCCAGAAGCCGACGGUAGGCAGCGGGGGGGAAUAUUGCACAAUGGGCGCAAGCCGGAUGCAGCCAUGCUGCGUGUGUGAAGAAGGCCGGCGGGUUGUAAAGCACUUUCAGCGGGGAGGCGUUACUCGCAGAAGAAGCACCGGCUAACUCCGUGCCAGCAGCCGCGGUAAUAC